RNAcentral lists this long non-coding RNA (1001 nucleotides) under Prunus dulcis (almond). RNAcentral describes it as "sRNA ncRNA". Lineage: Eukaryota; Viridiplantae; Streptophyta; Magnoliopsida; Rosales; Rosaceae. The record is from RNAcentral.
AUCGAGUGUUUCGAAAUGAGUAUGUGAGGUAUAAGCAUUAUCCAAGUGUGGCUGCGAAUGUAAGUUUUAUUGUUGAUAAUGGUCUUUCACAAUAUAGUUAGAUUAUGCAAAACAAAAUUUAAUUCAUGUCACAUCACUAUGCAGACUGUGGAAGAUGGUGUGUAUUUUGUUGGUCCGAGCGUUCAAGCUAGUGAAAUUAAAAAUCCACCAUUUACUGUUCAAGUGGUGGGAUGAUGGGAUGAUGGGACGCAGAUGAUUGUGAAGAAUUGGACAUGCCAAGAGGCACGUCUAGCAAGUGCCUUAUACUCUCGGGGGAUGUGAAAUAUGUAAGUUUGAGGUCAUUUCUACGCGAUUAAAAUGUUCAAAUCGAAACUAAGGUAAUGUAUUAACUUUGUUUACACAUAACAUGUUUGUACUAUAGGUAAGUGCAUCCACAGCAGUAGAACUAUUGGAUAUGAUUAGUCGGCUAAAUUCCUCGCUCAUCACAAACUUACAUUCGCGGCCACACUUGGAUAAUGCUUAUACCUCAUGUACUCAUUUCGAAACACUCCAUAAUCAGUGGAUUCAACAAACCAGUCCUCUGCCUUAAAUCCCUUAAGUGAUGCUUUGGUUUCAUUGUCCACAGCAUAUACUUUCACGUCUUUGAGUACAGUUCGAUCGGGUAUUUUUGGGAUUAGCUAAUCUAGUGUACCUAGGCUUUGCACGGAUACUCUUUCCCCUAAAUACCAGGCAUACCAGGCUGGUCCUUCGAGUAGAAUUCUUUGUUUUGUAGUUGGAAUGCUGCUUUGCACAUAAUGCUGUAGGUUUGUAUCACAGUUCCCAAUGGAUGCCAAUUGACUUGAUCAGUAGUGAUACAUCUCGUAGUUAUUCUAAACUACUCCAAGUUGUGAUAUAUCUUGAUCAAUAAAAAUGUUUAGAAUGAUUACAUUCCUUUUUCUCUUUUUUUAAUCUGAUGUAAUGUUUUUAGUUUUUAAUUUACAAAAUCAUUUUUUGUUCCAAUG